CCUACGGGUGGCAGCAGUGAGGAAUAUUGGUCAAUGGGCGAGAGCCUGAACCAGCCAAGUCGCGUGAAGGAUGACGGCCCUACGGGUUGUAAACUUCUUUUGUCAGGGAGCAAUUGGGUCCACGCGUGGGCUUAGCGAGAGUACCUGAAGAAAAAGCAUCGGCAAACUCCGUGCCAGCAGCCGCGUAAAUACGGAGGCUGAGAGCGUUAUCCGGUUUUAUUGGGUUUAAAGGGUGCGUAGGCGGAAUAUCAAGUCAGCGGUAAAAAUUCGGGGCUCAACCCCGUCGUGCCGUUGAAACUGGUGUGCUUGAGUGGGCGAGAAGUAUGCGGAAUGCGUGGUGUAGCGGUGAAAUGCAUAGAUAUCACGCAGAACUCCGAUUGCGAAGGCAGCAUACCGGCGCCCAACUGACGCUGAAGCACGAAAGCGUGGGUAUCGAACAGGAUUAGAUACCCCUGUAGUC
This 460-nucleotide ribosomal RNA is filed under the name uncultured bacterium. Its description in RNAcentral is "partial 16S ribosomal RNA". It matches the Rfam family "Bacterial small subunit ribosomal RNA", at positions 338 to 795 of the family's 1533-position model. The record is from RNAcentral.